GGGGUUGUAGCUCAGCUGGUAGAGCGCCGCCUCGGCAGGGCGGAGGUCAGGGGUUCGAUUCCCCUCUUCUCCA
Molecule: transfer RNA, 73 nt
Filed under: Micromonospora sediminicola
Lineage: Bacteria; Bacillati; Actinomycetota; Actinomycetes; Micromonosporales; Micromonosporaceae
Also listed under: 4 other names
Description: tRNA_Ala_GGC
Rfam family: tRNA
About the family: Transfer RNA (tRNA) molecules are approximately 80 nucleotides in length. Their secondary structure includes four short double-helical elements and three loops (D, anti-codon, and T loops).
Source: RNAcentral